Molecule: ribosomal RNA, 1415 nt
Filed under: Escherichia coli
Lineage: Bacteria; Pseudomonadati; Pseudomonadota; Gammaproteobacteria; Enterobacterales; Enterobacteriaceae
Description: bacterial SSU rRNA
Rfam family: Bacterial small subunit ribosomal RNA
Source: RNAcentral
GAUGGAGGGGGAUAACUACUGGAAACGGUAGCUAAUACCGCAUAACGUCGCAAGACCAAAGAGGGGGACCUUAGGGCCUCUUGCCAUCGGAUGUGCCCAGAUGGGAUUAGCUAGUAGGUGGGGUAACGGCUCACCUAGGCGACGAUCCCUAGCUGGUCUGAGAGGAUGACCAGCCACACUGGAACUGAGACACGGUCCAGACUCCUACGGGAGGCAGCAGUGGGGAAUAUUGCACAAUGGGCGCAAGCCUGAUGCAGCCAUGCCGCGUGUAUGAAGAAGGCCUUCGGGUUGUAAAGUACUUUCAGCGGGGAGGAAGGGAGUAAAGUUAAUACCUUUGCUCAUUGACGUUACCCGCAGAAGAAGCACCGGCUAACUCCGUGCCAGCAGCCGCGGUAAUACGGAGGGUGCAAGCGUUAAUCGGAAUUACUGGGCGUAAAGCGCACGCAGGCGGUUUGUUAAGUCAGAUGUGAAAUCCCCGGGCUCAACCUGGGAACUGCAUCUGAUACUGGCAAGCUUGAGUCUCGUAGAGGGGGGUAGAAUUCCAGGUGUAGCGGUGAAAUGCGUAGAGAUCUGGAGGAAUACCGGUGGCGAAGGCGGCCCCCUGGACGAAGACUGACGCUCAGGUGCGAAAGCGUGGGGAGCAAACAGGAUUAGAUACCCUGGUAGUCCACGCCGUAAACGAUGUCGACUUGGAGGUUGUGCCCUUGAGGCGUGGCUUCCGGAGCUAACGCGUUAAGUCGACCGCCUGGGGAGUACGGCCGCAAGGUUAAAACUCAAAUGAAUUGACGGGGGCCCGCACAAGCGGUGGAGCAUGUGGUUUAAUUCGAUGCAACGCGAAGAACCUUACCUGGUCUUGACAUCCACGGAAGUUUUCAGAGAUGAGAAUGUGCCUUCGGGAACCGUGAGACAGGUGCUGCAUGGCUGUCGUCAGCUCGUGUUGUGAAAUGUUGGGUUAAGUCCCGCAACGAGCGCAACCCUUAUCCUUUGUUGCCAGCGGUCCGGCCGGGAACUCAAAGGAGACUGCCAGUGAUAAACUGGAGGAAGGUGGGGAUGACGUCAAGUCAUCAUGGCCCUUACGACCAGGGCUACACACGUGCUACAAUGGCGCAUACAAAGAGAAGCGACCUCGCGAGAGCAAGCGGACCUCAUAAAGUGCGUCGUAGUCCGGAUUGGAGUCUGCAACUCGACUCCAUGAAGUCGGAAUCGCUAGUAAUCGUGGAUCAGAAUGCCACGGUGAAUACGUUCCCGGGCCUUGUACACACCGCCCGUCACACCAUGGGAGUGGGUUGCAAAAGAAGUAGGUAGCUUAACCUUCGGGAGGGCGCUUACCACUUUGUGAUUCAUGACUGGGGUGAAGUCGUAACAAGGUAACCGUAGGGGAACCUGCGGUUGGAUCACCUCCUUACCUUAAAGAA